Molecule: long non-coding RNA, 5940 nt
Filed under: Sus scrofa (pig)
Lineage: Eukaryota; Metazoa; Chordata; Mammalia; Artiodactyla; Suidae
Description: lncRNA (ENSSSCG00000059046.1)
Source: RNAcentral
AUCCUUCUUUUCGCAUAUAUAAAUGAGCAUUUCCAAACGAAACAAAAAGCAUGGCCAACUCGGCAGGCCAUGUUUGCCAAGCACUCAGCUUAAAAACAGUAUGUAAUUACAUAGUGUUUUUAUUAUCUCACUAAAAAUAUUGUUCCUUGUAGAGAAUCCUGCCUUUCCCAAUUGCUGAAAUUAAAGAACCUGGAGGCUGGUUUCAAUGUGAUAAGAAAAAGCCAUGUUCUUCAGCAUUCAUCUUUGUGUAUAAUUACCUGCAAAGCUGUAGCGUGAUCACUUUAUCACACUUCUUUUCAAUGUUCUGCUGAGUCUACAAUGUGUGUGUCUGUGUGUGUGCACGCACCCAUAUAUAUACAUAAAUGUACUUUUGUUACGAUGCUCUGGAAUAUAAGAUCUUAUAAAACCAUCGCUGUUUGAGAACUCUGUGAUAAAAAUGCACCCAUACUGCAGUGGAUCCCAAUUCUAUGCCGUGGCUUCUUCUCCACACGGAUUUUAGGUGAUUUCUCACUGAUGCGUAACAUGAAAACUUACUACGUUUCACAUAGUAGAGUGUUAUUCUAACUUUGGUGCAUUUAUGCUGUAAUGUGUUCGAAACUGCAGCUGACUUCGAUUUUAGCUAUUUCCAAAUACAGUGGUAAAGCUGUGCCGUUAUUUCGAGACCUACGCAGUUUUAUGUCCCAGUGAAAUGUUUAGGGCAGGUAUUUCCCCUUCCUUAGAAAACUGCAGCCUUCAUUAGACAGGUAAGCAUUUGGUUCCUUUGCAGGUGACAGAGAUUUAAGGCACAUUAAAAUGUAAAUCUGAACAGAAAGGUAUAGAAAAAACCCCAAAACUCGAGCGGCCGAGCGCUGCUUUAAGAAGUCUGUGAAUAUACCCCUCUGCUCAAGAACAGGGUGCAGCGAGACUUGAAUGAUUAGCGUGCGCUUCCAAAAGUAGGGGCUUUCUCCUUUGCAGUAAUAAAAUCUGUGAAUGAAGAUACAAAUUUCCAAAAUAGCCUGUAGAAGUGGCUUUGCAUCCACGUCACCAGUCAUCACUUCAUGGAACUCGUCCUCACUGCCAGCUCUCGUACGAAGCGGCUUGUGUUCGCCAGCACGUAUGGACCGCAGGCUCUCUGCGGGAGCCAGGCUCUCCUUUUCUGGGGAGGCUCCUGUUGGGGGGGGCGCCGUCAACGCCUGCCCCCCCAGCUCGCAGAUCUCUCCGCAUCCCCUGGGCUGCCGCCCUGUCGCGAUGCUCCCCAGACAGCAGUGCCCUUUCGUUCACCACCUCGAGGAGCGCGGAGUAAAACCACAGAGCGGUAAAUGACGACGCUUUGUUACGUAAAAAGGGAAUUGGACAGUGUCACAAACCCUGUUUUUGGUUUUAGAAUAACGUUGAAAACCCUGAUUGGAUGGAUCCAAACCCCGAUAUUUGCACAGUUGGAAAGUGCGUUCAGUCCUCAGGGGCACGAGGUGCGGAGCUCCAGAAACGCGCGGGCUGCCUGGCCUCUUGAUGUCUGGGUUCUUUGCCCAACAGGCCACAGCUGUUACCGCAGGUGUUAAACCCUGUGCGUGUGGCGGGGAAACAGCUGGGCUUCCACACAGUCAGUGACGACCGGCUCACCCGUAAGGGGUCAGCGACGACCGGCUCACAUCUGAAUUCCUGGGAGCUCAUCAGCCUCCUCCUGGGAUCCGGCCGCCCAGCCGCAGGUGUUGGAGUCCUACGUGCGGCUCUUCUCUCAGGUCUCUGGACCCUAGAGCCACCCUCACGAGGCGUGAGGCUGCCAUUCCCUCACCAUCUUCCUUCUUCUCAAACAUGCGCUUUCAUCUUAAGUGGUUCUGAACACACAUACAAGGAAGUAACAGGAAAGCUCUCUGGGUACCAGUGGAUGCCCAGCCUCUCUUGUCACCUCCUCUCUGAUUCAGAAUCUUGGUUGCCUCCCGCAGGGCUUUUUUGGGCCUGUUGUUCUUUUGAUUGGAGUUAUCAGUAGAUUUUACUUAUGAGCAUAGAUGAGAAAUAAGAUAGCACAUCCACAUAGGGCUUAAUUCAAGAAUUUAAACAUGUUUUAAAGUAAGAAAAUUCACAAUCCUAGUUAUUUUGUUAAGAGACUAAUGGGGGAUAAAGAACUAUAUUAUUUUUUCAUGAAUAUAUACGGCACUUAUUGCACAAAAAAAUCUCUUCACUAAAAAUUAAUAGUGUUACAUUAGCUAAGACACAUGCCGAUGGUCUGGAUUUCUGUGCUUUAAAUUAGUUGCAGAAUUAAAGAAAAGUCUUCUGAGAGAUGCUGAAUUCUUAAUAUGAUGGUGUUUUGGUCAACUUUCGGUAGUUAAAAUUUGGGACAAGGUCAAAGCAGGCUGCCCCUGAAAUCCUUAAGCCAUUUCACCAGCAGGGACCAUAGCUUCUCAUUGCAGCUCUUUAGUAAGAACUAAAGUUAACAAGACAACCCUAUCGAGCCGACUGCUUCCCUCCCUUUGUGUGUCUGUUUCUCAACACAGAAGGAGCCUUUGCUUUCCCAACAGAAGGUAACAUGCGGACACAGCUGUAAACUGUUGGUUUCUUUUCAUUGGACAAAUAAAAUCACGAAGUACCAUACUGACCUGUAUAACCUUAAAUAACGCACGGCAACUCUUUUGACAAUAUUCUUAACAAUUCACUAAUUUAACUGCCUGCUUUCCAGCCAACAGCUAAGACCAGCACUGUUUGAAUUGUUGAGCGUGAGCUGUGAUCUGAAAGGGACACAUUCACCCUGCAUGGCGCGAGUCCUGAGUCUCAAUACGUGAGUCUCAGUGAGGGGGUCUCAGUGCGUGAGUCUCAGUGCGUGGGUCUCAGUGCGUGGGUCUCAGUGAGGGGUCUCAGUGCGUGGGUCUCAGUGCGUGAGUCUCAGUGAGGGGGUCUCAGUGCGUGAGUCUCAGUGAGGGGGUCUCAGUGCGUGGGUCUCAGUGAGGGGUCUCAGUGAGGGGUCUCAGUGAGUGAGUGCACUUUGCUGCUGAAGAGCGUUGCCUUGUGUGCAUGCGUCAGGGGUCUGGACAGACCUGAGAGUCUUCAGAUUCCAGAGCCACCUCUCAAAACCAUAUUGAAUUGAAGAUUUUUCAGAAAACACCUGUUCUUCAUAAGAAGUCUGAGUAACAUUCAUGCCGCCUGGGUCUCUGAGCAUUGCCCCUCUGGCACCUAAAUUGUGCAGCGGCCUUCUGUCUAAAAUGCCAAUAGAGCAUAUUGCCCUGUGAGGCGUCCCGUGUGUUGGCAUGGCUGGCAGCUGGCACACUAACUUUGAGAAUGACCUUUGGAUAAGGUUCAAAUCUGCACGUGGAAUUUGUGCUGGCGUUACUCUCCUGCAGGGCGGUAACAAAAUACUGCAAGGAAAGCUGGUGGAAGUCAGGCUGAUGGGUGUAUAUUUUAUGCAUCCAGGGUUGAGGCAACUGCAACAGUCAGCAGGGCGGGACGCUGUAAGCCCCGCACCUUCCAUCGUGCAGCUUUGGGUUGCCUGGGGCUGGGCGAUGGCACUGACCUUCACCUACUGUGAGUUCCUGUAGGAGAAAUGACAGCCGUAAGGCACCCCCUGCUCUGUGCUGGGAUGCACAGACGCCAGGAAGACAGACCUUUAUUCUGAAGGCUGCGAUAGCCAGUCCGCCUGCUCCCAAGGGAAUGCCAGGCCCCGGCUGGCUCGGCGUCCCUGCGCCCCGGGAGAUCAAUUAUGUAGCAAAUGCUUCUCCUCUCUGAGAGGCUCAGGAUCCUGUCCCUUUUAUCCUCUCUAAACCUGUAGAAAAUGCGAGGCGUUUUUUUAUCUGUCCAGACCAUAUGAUAAAUGCUCUUUGUCACAAUGACAUUCUUCUAAUUUCAUGAUUAAUCAAAUAUUUAAGACAAACAUUCCAACUUGAUUUGAAAGAUGUGCACAUGAAUGUGUCUCCUCCACUUUCUCUUUCAUGGUGUAAUAUUCACAAUUUAAAAACCUGCUCCUAUAGGAGUGAUUAAUAAGCGGGUAUUGUCUGAGGCUCCAAAUGCCAGAUCAAAAAUUAUAGUGACUUUAUCACGAAGCCACAUUUUUCUUCUGUGAUAAGCUUUUUUCUCCCGUGAUAAGCUGCUUAUCUGCACUUAGAAGAACCCAUUCGUACGUAUAGUUCUACAUUUAAAAUCAAUUGUCCUUGUCAAGCGUACGCAUGUUUGUGACUAUGAAGUUUUAUUCAUUAAGACAAGUUUUUACGUAAGAAACAAGCCUAGAAUAGAAAUAUAAAAAGACAGUUUAUAUUUGCCCAAUUCACAUAAGCAUAUUGUAAGGAUAGCAAUAGGAGGAUAGUGGCGCUCGUGUAUCACCUCAUUCUCGUUAGCAAUUUUGUGUCCCAAAUGAAGCUUUUCAAAAUUGUUUUUCAUAAGAAAGCUGAAAACUCUCUAAAAGUGAUCAAUAGCCUUUCAAUAAUAAUCAUAAAAUUAUUUCUCAACAUCUUUAUUUCUCUUCACAAAAAGUGCCCAUAUCUAAACCAAUAAUACCAAUAGCAACAUUUUCCCGUGAAACCGAAAUUUCAUUUCGGAGGUGGCAGCCUCUGUCACGCCCUUUCGAGAGGUUCCGAGGGUCCAGUCCUCUCGGGGGCGACUGAUUCGGGAAGGGCUCCUCCGCUGUGCUUUUGUUGGUUAGCAGCUUCGUUCUCUGACCAUCGGUGCUGUCAGAACGGUGUUACGUACUGUUCUCCCUAUAAACGGUACCCUUUUGUGACUUGAGACGGCGUGGAUAUGAUGUGACAGUCGCCCGGGCCCCUGACUUCCCCACGCUAGCCUGCAGCACGCACCCCAGUCACCCAGAGGGGGGCUUCUUUCUGAAGCGCAGGUGGUGGGCGUCGCCCCCAGCGCCAGAGCUGCGGGUCAAGGACGAGGUCGGUACCGGCCUUUGCAACGACCCAGGCUGCGGGCCAGGCCCGCCCUUGCAAAACCUCUGGGGGAGCCCUGGUCCGUCCGGUGCCGACGGGCCUUUUGCGCAUGCGCCCUGCUGGGUUGAAAUCAGCCCCUCCCCCCAGUAGACGGGCCCCCAAGAGCAGGUGUCUUUGGUCCUGAUGUGGGCAGAGCUUGAGGCUGACUCACGGGCCUAAGCCGCACUGGGGGAUGAUUUGGAAAGGAUUUGGGGAGGGGAGUGUCUAGUGGGCGGUGACGCUUGGGCAUGUGGCCUUGACAGUUUUAAAGACGGUAUUGAUAACUAAAGCAGGAUCACUCUUGUUGGGGAAAUUGAAAGGUAUUCAAAUGGAAAGCAGAGUUACUUAGAAAAAAUUUUUUAAGUAGAAGCAAGACAAUCAGAGAUUCUUUAGACACGGCGGCUGCUGCAAACAGCCCAGAAGGAAGGUGGCCCCGUCUGUGAAAUCUGACCCAGCUUGACGGCCAGUUAUGUUGACUGAACGAUGCAAAGGCUUGCUUCUUCUUCUUCUUCUUCUUUUUUUUCCCUGGGCCAAAAUUAUCUGUUUUCCGUGCUUUGAGAGCUCAAUAAAAUAAUCCAUUAAUAUUAAAAUCGAGUUUACAUUAACAUGCUCUGAAAACCAAGCACACACAUUCCUUAAGGAAGCUGUGAAGCCGUUCGUACCUCGGAAACAUUUAUUUUAAUAGAAACAAGUUAUUGAUAGAAAACAGCUGGAGUAGAAAAUGUCUUUCUGGACUUGGAGGAUGACUGAGCUGAUAGCGGUGGGAUUUGGAAAGGCGGGAAAAUGGGGAAAAGCUCUGUGCACAGAUAUGAUUAAAUAAAAUGCAGAGCGUGAAAUUCAGAAAAAUAAUGAGGCACUUCUGGGGGACUCGGGGGCCGCGUGUAGAAAAGGGACGGAGUAAAACCUCGUCCUUCCGUGCACUUUGGCCCACGUCCUGGUCCAGCGGCCGCUGUCCCUGGAUGGCCGGGGACACUUGGCGGUGGAUCGAGCCGGCACCCUUCCUGGCCAUUGCUCUGCUUUGAAUGGACAACUCAAAUUCGAAGGAAGGACAUGGAAAUGAAAGUAAAGC